RNAcentral lists this ribosomal RNA (44 nucleotides) under Hoya ariadna. RNAcentral's name for it is "partial 18S ribosomal RNA". Lineage: Eukaryota; Viridiplantae; Streptophyta; Magnoliopsida; Gentianales; Apocynaceae. The record is from RNAcentral.
GUCGUAAUAAGGUUUUCGUAUGUGAACCUGCGGAAGGAUCAUUG